This 72-nucleotide transfer RNA is filed under the name Fukomys damarensis (Damara mole-rat). It matches the Rfam family "tRNA". Rfam says of the family: Transfer RNA (tRNA) molecules are approximately 80 nucleotides in length. Their secondary structure includes four short double-helical elements and three loops (D, anti-codon, and T loops). Further hydrogen bonds mediate the characteristic L-shaped molecular structure. tRNAs have two regions of fundamental functional importance: the anti-codon, which is responsible for specific mRNA codon recognition, and the 3' end, to which the tRNAs corresponding amino acid is attached (by aminoacyl-tRNA synthetases). tRNAs cope with the degeneracy of the genetic code in two manners: having more than one tRNA (with a specific anti-codon) for a particular amino acid; and 'wobble' base-pairing, i.e. permitting non-standard base-pairing at the 3rd anti-codon position. Lineage: Eukaryota; Metazoa; Chordata; Mammalia; Rodentia; Bathyergidae. The record is from Rfam by way of RNAcentral.
GGGGAUGUGGCUCAGUGGCAGAGCAUUCACCUAGCAUGCACAACAGCCUGAGUUCAAUCCUCAGUACUGCCU